This 475-nucleotide ribosomal RNA is filed under the name uncultured organism. RNAcentral's name for it is "partial 16S ribosomal RNA". It matches the Rfam family "Bacterial small subunit ribosomal RNA", at positions 330 to 797 of the family's 1533-position model. The record is from RNAcentral.
CGUACACUCCUGCGGGAGGCAGCAGUGGGGAAUAUUGCACAAUGGGCGCAAGCCUGAUGCAGCCAUGCCGCGUGUAUGAAGAAGGCCUUCGGGUUGUAAAGUACUUUCAGCGGGGAGGAAGGCAAUACGGUUAAUAACCGUGUUGAUUGACGUUACCCGCAGAAGAAGCACCGGCUAACUCCGUGCCAGCAGCCGCGGUAAUACGGAGGGUGCAAGCGUUAAUCGGAAUUACUGGGCGUAAAGCGCACGCAGGCGGUCUGUCAAGUCGGAUGUGAAAUCCCCGGGCUCAACCUGGGAACUGCAUUCGAAACUGGCAGGCUUGAGUCUUGUAGAGGGGGGUAGAAUUCCAGGUGUAGCGGUGAAAUGCGUAGAGAUCUGGAGGAAUACCGGUGGCGAAGGCGGCCCCCUGGACAAAGACUGACGCUCAGGUGCGAAAGCGUGGGGAGCAAACAGGAUUAGAUACCCCAGUAGUCCC